CAAAGGCAUGGUCCUGACCUUAUUAUUAGCUCUUACCCGACUUACACAUGCAAGUCUCCGCAAUCCCGUGAGUAUGCCCUCAAUCCCCUGCCCGGGGACGAGGAGCGGGCAUCAGGCACAAAUUUUAGCCCAAGACGCCUGGCCAAGCCACACCCCCAAGGGAAUUCAGCAGUGAUAAACAUUAAGCCAUAAGUGAAAACUUGACUCAGUCAAGGUAAAGAGGGCCGGUAAAACUCGUGCCAGCCACCGCGGUUAAACGAGAGGCCCUAGUUGAUAAAACCACGGCGUAAAGGGUGGUUAAGGAAAGCAAACAAAUUAAAGCCAAAUGGCCCUUUGGCCGUCAUACGCUUCUAGGUGUCCGAAGCCCAAUUAUACGAAAGUAGCUUUAUAAAGCCCACC
This 399-nucleotide ribosomal RNA is filed under the name Hypophthalmichthys molitrix (silver carp). RNAcentral describes it as "partial 12S ribosomal RNA". The record is from RNAcentral. Lineage: Eukaryota; Metazoa; Chordata; Actinopteri; Cypriniformes; Xenocyprididae.